Molecule: transfer RNA, 63 nt
Filed under: Aletris laxiflora
Lineage: Eukaryota; Viridiplantae; Streptophyta; Magnoliopsida; Dioscoreales; Nartheciaceae
Description: partial tRNA-Phe
Source: RNAcentral
UCGGGAUAGCUCAGUUGGUAGAGCAGAGGACUGAAAAUCCUUCGGGUCCCAGUUUCAAUAUAA